Molecule: ribosomal RNA, 513 nt
Filed under: uncultured bacterium
Lineage: Bacteria
Description: bacterial SSU rRNA
Rfam family: Bacterial small subunit ribosomal RNA
Source: RNAcentral
UAGUCCACGCCGUAAACGAUGAGCACUCGCUGUAGCUGGUAUUGACCCCGGCUGUAGCUUAGUUAACACGUUAAGUGCUCCGCCUGGGAAGUACGGUCGCAAGAUUAAAACUCAAAGGAAUUGACGGGGACCCGCACAAGCGGUGGAUUAUGUGGUUUAAUUCGAAGCAACGCGCAGAACCUUACCUGGCCUUGAUCCCAUGGACCGCUCUAGAGAUAGAGUUUUCUCGCAAGAGACUGUGGUGACAGGUGCUGCAUGGCUGUCGUCAGCUCGUGUCGUGAGAUGUUCGGUUAAGUCCGGCAACGAGCGCAACCCUUAUUCUUAGUUGCCAUCAUUAAGUUGGGCACUCUAGGGAGACUGCCGGUGUUAAACCGGAGGAAGGUGGGGAUGACGUCAAGUCCUCAUGGCCCUUACGGCCAGGGCUACACACGUAAUACAAUGGAUAGUACAAAGAGUUGCGGACCCGCGAGGGGAAGCCAAUCUCAAAAAACUAUCCUCAGUUCGGAUUGAAGU